GCUGGUGUCUUUCAUCUUUUGGGUACCACCCCUUCCCAUUCCGAACAGGGCCGUUAAACCAAAAGUAGCCGAUGAUACUCGGAGGCUUAGCCUCCCGGGAAAGUAGGUGAUGCCAGCA
This 118-nucleotide ribosomal RNA is filed under the name Candidatus Sungiibacteriota bacterium. Lineage: Bacteria; Candidatus Sungiibacteriota. The record is from RNAcentral.